This 229-nucleotide ribosomal RNA is filed under the name uncultured bacterium. Its description in RNAcentral is "partial 16S ribosomal RNA". It matches the Rfam family "Bacterial small subunit ribosomal RNA", at positions 568 to 796 of the family's 1533-position model. The record is from RNAcentral.
CGUGUAGGCGGUUAAGUAAGUCAGUGGUGAAAUCUCUCGGCUCAACCGGGAAACUGCCAUUGAUACUGUUAGUCUUGAGUUCGGUUGAGGUAGGCGGAAUGUGUAAUGUAGCGGUGAAAUGCUUAGAUAUUACACAGAACACCAAUUGCGUAGGCAGCUUACUAGACCGACACUGACGCUGAGGCACGAAAGCGUGGGGAGCGAACAGGAUUAGAUACCCUGGUAGUCC